CAGCAGCAGCCGCGGUAAUACGAAGGGUGCAAGCGUUACUCGGAAUUACUGGGCGUAAAGCGUGCGUAGGUGGUGGUUUAAGUCCAUUGUGAAAGCCCUGGGCUCAACCUGGGAAUUGCAGUGGAUACUGGGUCACUAGAGUGUGGUAGAGGAUAGUGGAAUUUCCGGUGUAGCAGUGAAAUGCGUAGAGAUCGGAAGGAACAUCUGUGGCGAAGGCGACUAUCUGGGCCAACACUGACACUGAGGCACGAAAGCGUGGGGAGCAAACAGGAUUAGAUACCCGCGUAGUCCCUGUCUCUUAUAC
This 304-nucleotide ribosomal RNA is filed under the name uncultured bacterium. RNAcentral describes it as "partial 16S ribosomal RNA". It matches the Rfam family "Bacterial small subunit ribosomal RNA", at positions 506 to 807 of the family's 1533-position model. The record is from RNAcentral.